RNAcentral lists this ribosomal RNA (130 nucleotides) under Otolemur garnettii (small-eared galago). Lineage: Eukaryota; Metazoa; Chordata; Mammalia; Primates; Galagidae. The record is from RNAcentral.
GUCAAUGGCCAUCACACCCUGAAUGUGCCUGGUCUUGUCUGAUCUUGGAAGCUAAGCAGAGUCGGGUCUGGUUAGUACUUGGAUGGGAGAAAUUCAAGCUAAGACAACCAGGAAAUGGAAUUGUCAGAUC